This 457-nucleotide ribosomal RNA is filed under the name Bostrycapulus pritzkeri. Its description in RNAcentral is "eukaryotic LSU rRNA". It matches the Rfam family "Eukaryotic large subunit ribosomal RNA", at positions 2379 to 2828 of the family's 3401-position model. The record is from RNAcentral. Lineage: Eukaryota; Metazoa; Mollusca; Gastropoda; Littorinimorpha; Calyptraeidae.
ACGGGCUUGGCGGAAUCAGCGGGGAAAGAAGACCCUGUUGAGCUUGACUCUAGUCCGACUUUGUGAAGAGACAUGAGANGGUGUAGCAUAGGUGGGAGCGCGAGCGAUCUUGAAAUACCACUACUUUUAUCGUUUCUUUACUUAUUCAGUCGAGCGGAAAGCGGGGCGCAAGCCCCUAGCUUCUGGAAUUAAGCUCUCGACCUCGCUGCCGAGGGCGAUCCGCUCUGAAGACCGUGUCAGGCGGGGAGUUUGACUGGGGCGGUACAUCUGUCAAAAGGUAACGCAGGUGUCCUAAGGCGAGCUCAGCGAGGACGGAAACCUCGCGUAGAGUAAAAGGGCAAAAGCUCGCUUGAUUUUGAUUUUCAGUACGAAUACAGACCGUGAAAGCGUGGCCUAUCGAUCCUUUUGACUUUAGGAGUUUUAAGCAAGAGGUGUCAGAAAAGUUACCACAGGGAUA